Molecule: ribosomal RNA, 253 nt
Filed under: uncultured bacterium
Lineage: Bacteria
Description: partial 16S ribosomal RNA
Rfam family: Bacterial small subunit ribosomal RNA
Source: RNAcentral
GACGAACCGUGCGAACGUUGUUCGGAAUCACUGGGCUUAAAGGGCGCGUAGGCGGCUUGCCAAGUCAGGGGUGAAAUCCAGCAGCUUAACUGUUGAAGUGCCCUUGAUACUGGCGAGCUCGAGGGAGGUAGGGGUAUGCGGAACUUCUGGUGGAGCGGUGAAAUGCGUUGAUAUCAGAAGGAACGCCGGUGGCGAAAGCGGCGUACUGGACCUCUUCUGACGCUGAGGCGCGAAAGCUAGGGGAGCAAACGGG